GAAAACAGGACCCACGGAGUCCGCCCCCACCACCACCUGACCACCCUAUCCCCCAGCUAGCUGCGACGAUGAGUGGAGUUGAGUGUACCUGUCCUCUUCGCAAGAACCGAGGCGGGGUGCCGACCUCCUCCUCCUUCGCGUCACCUUCCCUUCCAUUUCGCCCACCCGCAAAAAUCCAAGACGACGCACGCAAGGCAAACUACUCCCGAAAUCGAAUAAAUAAACGGCUCUCCUUUUCCAAAAACAGCGCGUCCUUCUUCUCAANAAAAGGUUGGAAAAAUUACUACUACUUCCUUUUUACAUUCCCACGACCGCAGCGGCGGUCAGGCUGACGGCCGCCCGCAGCGCCGGCGUGCGUCCGUGGAGUACGUGCCUGGCCAAUCGAUCCACGCGCUCCGGGGCCGGGCCAAUCCAAACAGUGGUAGCUCAGUAGCUGUUGGCACCCGCUGCUUUCCCCAGACCAAACGUGACCCCGGAGCGGAGAAGAAGCCGCCAUGAAGCAGCCUCCUCCGCCUCUGCCUCUGCCCGCUGCCGCUGCCGCUGCUUUCCCACCUCCUCGUUNNNNN
Molecule: long non-coding RNA, 566 nt
Filed under: Hordeum vulgare
Lineage: Eukaryota; Viridiplantae; Streptophyta; Magnoliopsida; Poales; Poaceae
Description: long non-coding RNA (HVUL_LNC005600)
Source: RNAcentral